RNAcentral lists this non-coding RNA (149 nucleotides) under Lachnospira rogosae (ex Hitch et al. 2025). The record is from RNAcentral. Lineage: Bacteria; Bacillati; Bacillota; Clostridia; Lachnospirales; Lachnospiraceae.
AACUGAGAUAUUCUUAGCCUUUCUUCCCCAUAAACCAGCAAUGGCAGGACACGAUGUCCUGCCAAGCGACUACUGAGCCACGAUGGCGAAUAGGAGCGUAUGCGUCCGUCCUCACCACCUAAAUAAGAAAGGCUUAGAAUAUCCAAUUG